RNAcentral lists this ribosomal RNA (508 nucleotides) under uncultured bacterium. Its description in RNAcentral is "bacterial SSU rRNA". It matches the Rfam family "Bacterial small subunit ribosomal RNA", at positions 31 to 518 of the family's 1533-position model. The record is from RNAcentral.
GAACGCUGGCGGCGUGCUUAACACAUGCAAGUCGAACGCGAAAGGGACUUCGGUCCUGAGUAAAGUGGCGCACGGGUGAGUAACGCGUAGAUAACCUGUCUUCAUGUCUGGAAUAAUACGCCGAAAGGGGUACUAAUACCGGAUAUUCUUGCUUUUCAUAAGUUAUGCAAGCAAAGGUGGCCUCUGCAUAUGCUACUGCAUGAAGAGGGGUCUGCGUACCAUUAGCUAGUAGGUGGGGUAAUGGCCUACCUAGGCGACGAUGGUUAGCGGGUCUGAGAGGAUGAUCCGCCACACUGGCACUGGAACACGGGCCAGACUCCUACGGGAGGCAGCAGUGAGGAAUAUUGCGCAAUGGGGGAAACCCUGACGCAGCGACGCCGCGUGAGUGAAGGAAGGCCUUCGGGUCGUAAAGCUCUGUCAAGAGGAAAGAAGUGUACAAUGGCUAAUACCUGUUGUAUUUGACGGUACCUCUAAAGGAAGCACCGGCUAACUCCGUGCCAGCAGCCGC